RNAcentral lists this ribosomal RNA (363 nucleotides) under uncultured eukaryote. Its description in RNAcentral is "partial 18S ribosomal RNA". It matches the Rfam family "Eukaryotic small subunit ribosomal RNA", at positions 592 to 976 of the family's 1831-position model. The record is from RNAcentral.
CAAUAGCGUAUACUAAUGUUGUUGCAGUUAAAAAGCUCGUAGUUGAACUUCUGGUAGGAGUGUCCCGGCCUUUUUGUUUUUACAAAUUGUAUGCUGUGUGACAUCUCUGGUCAUCCUUCUUCUUUGUUUAAAGAAGAUCUUUCACUGUAAAAAAAUUAGGGUGUUCAAAGCAAAAGUUUCUUUGGAAUAUAUUAGUAUGGGAUGAUAAGAUAGGCUCUAGAUGCUAUUUUGUUGGUUUGCACAUUUAGAGAAUGAUUAACAGGGACAGUUGGGGGUAUUCGUAUUUACAUGUCAGAGGUGAAAUUCUUGGAUUUUGGAAAGACGAACUACUGCGAAAGCAUUUACCAAGGAUGUUUUCAUUAA